RNAcentral lists this ribosomal RNA (500 nucleotides) under uncultured bacterium. Its description in RNAcentral is "partial 16S ribosomal RNA". It matches the Rfam family "Bacterial small subunit ribosomal RNA", at positions 28 to 507 of the family's 1533-position model. The record is from RNAcentral.
GACGAACGCUGGCGGCGUGCCUAAUACAUGCAAGUCGAGCGGACUGAUUAAGAGCUUGCUCUUAUGACGUUAGCGGCGGACGGGUGAGUAACACGUGGGCAACCUGCCCUGUAGAUCGGGAUAACACCGAGAAAUCGGUGCUAAUACCGGGUAAUAUCUGAGAUCACAUGAUCUUAGGUUAAAAGAUGGCUCCGGCUAUCACUACAGGAUGGGCCCGCGGCGCAUUAGCUAGUUGGUAAGGUAAUGGCUUACCAAGGCGACGAUGCGUAGCCGACCUGAGAGGGUGAUCGGCCACACUGGGACUGAGACACGGCCCAGACUCCUACGGGAGGCAGCAGUAGGGAAUCUUCCGCAAUGGACGAAAGUCUGACGGAGCAACGCCGCGUGAGUGAUGAAGGGUUUCGGCUCGUAAAGCUCUGUUGUUAGGGAAGAAACAGUACCGAACGAACUAGGUCGGUACCCUGACGGUACCUAACCAGAAAGCCACGGCUAACUACGUG